Long non-coding RNA from Chelonia mydas (Green sea turtle), 1458 nucleotides. RefSeq lists it as uncharacterized. Lineage: Eukaryota; Metazoa; Chordata; Testudines; Cheloniidae. The record is from RefSeq and is a predicted model, not a curated record. The transcript is spliced from 4 exons.
GCUGGGAAACGCAACAGCCACAAUACGCUGUUUGGAACUCGCUUCAGAAUCUACACCCAAACCAGGAAGAAAAUAAAGGUGCGAAACUUCCUUACAGUGCCUCAUCAGUAUGCCUCAACAUAAGAACAGCCAUACUGGGUCAGACCAAGGGUCCAUCUAGCCCAGUGUCCUUCCGACAGUGGCCAAUCUCAGGUGCAUCAGACGGAAUGAACAGAACAGGUAAUCGUCAAGUGAUCCAUUCCCUGUCACUCUGACCAGAAGUGAGAUGUUCAGCCUCUGUACCCAUCUAAUGGUUGACUUGUCAGCUCUAAACAUCUGGACGACAGAGCUAUAAAGGGGGCAGGGCAUAGUUUCUUCUACUACCGCCUCCUCCUACAGUCUCAAGUUGAAAUUACGACUGAGGAAGGAAAGUGUGUAGGUCAUCUCAAAGAAUGCCAAUUACAGGAGGAUACCAGAACCGGAUGCAGUAUUGCAGCAGUGGUCACACCAGUGCCAAAUGCAUAUUAGCCGUUUUGGCCACAGUGUUACUCAGCUGUUUAUCCUAGGAAGCAGUGACCGAAAAAGAUUGAAGAGUUAAAGUGGACAGAGUCCUUCAUCCUGUAAGUAUAGCCUACACUCUGUUCCUAGAUACGUGUACAUUUAGCCAUAUUAAAACAUGUUUACUUACACCUAGCUUGCCAAGCAAUCCAGAUCACUCUAUCAGUGGCCCAUCAUUUACCACUCCAAUUUGUGUCAUCUGUAAACUAUCAGUUAUGAUUUUAUGUUCUCUUCCAGGUCACUGAUGAAAGUUAAACAGCACAGGUCCAAGAACGGAUCCCUGCAGGACCACUUUGCAAAAGCAGCUGCUCGAUGAUGAUCCCCCAUUUACAAUUACAUUUUAAGAGCUAUCAGUUAACCAGCUUUUAAUCCAUUUAAUGUGUGCCAUGUUAAUUUUGUAUUGUUCUAAAUUCUUAAACUUCUAUAAGGCAUUUGACUUGGUCCUCCAUGACAUUUUGAUUAAGUAUAUCAUAUCCACUUCUUUUUCAAGAUUAGUAUAAUUUAAGUAAAAAAAAAAAAAAAAAGAAAAAAAAGAAAGAAAGAUAGUUUGACAGAAUCAACAUCUGGGGGGAAAAUAAACAUUAUGGUCCAGCAAGCUCUUCAGCCAGAUCUUUUUAAACUCUUGGAUGCAAGUAAUCCAGACCAGCUGAUUUUAAAGCAUGUUUGGUUGGAUCUAAUCUUUACAUAUGCACAACGACUGGGAUCUUAGGUUUUGUUCCAGGCACAGAGGCAAAUGACUGAAAUGGGACAUUACCGGGCUUUUCAAUCCCAUCAGGGGUCUGAGCGGAGGCUGUCCUUCAAGUACUGGAAUUAACUAAGAAACUUAACAGUAACAAGUCACUAGGACCAGAUGGCAUUCACCCAAGAGUUCUGAAAGAACUCAAAUGUGAAAUUGUGCAACUAUUAACUAUGGUUUGUAAC